UUUAUUAGUAAAAUAACCCAAAAAGGAAAACAGGUCCUGUGCGCGCAUAUUAUUUCUUCCCCCAAUCUCUCCUCAGUUUUCUCAGUUUCCCUGAUCUCUUAAUCAAAUCCAGUAUCCGAUCCCUAAUCAAAAACAAAAAAAAUUCACGACCAAAUAUAUUCGCGCGCCUCUUUUUUUCUCAAAAACCCUAGAUUUAUCUUUGUUUUAUGUGCUAUCCUUUAACAAAUAUAUCCGUAGAAUCCAACGAUCAGGAUUAUCUCAAAGCGUUGUGCGAGUGUCUGCAAGAGAUAUCCCAACAGUAUCUUAUGCUUCAACGUUUCCAAUUUCCAAAGCCGCAGCCUGCUAUUUUCUCCAUUAACAAUAGAUUAAAGCCCUUAAAUCUCUUGAUUCUUUUUUAACAUCGAUAUACAAACAAGUGUAUACAUGGCUCCUACUAGUCGUAAGAGGGUAAUGGCUAAUACUAAUGAUUUCAACAAUGAUGAGUUGCAAUCUAUUCCGGAUGAUGGUCAGUGUUCUGCCACUUCCGUUAAAAAGUGUGGACCCUCAACAAACAUUGCAUUGGAGGAUGUGUUGGAUAAAAAUAAGAGGCAGCCAUUAGAAGUUACGUUUAAAGAAGGACAUUUGUAGCCUGUAGGCAAGAACGCAAAACUUUGGAAGGCUGAAAUUGGAGUAGAAGCAAGAUGUUUUCCAGCUAUUUACCCCAGAUAUGAUAAGAUACCACUUGAAAAUAAGGAUGCUGUGUAUUAUAGAUUUAAGGUGUUCCCAACGAGCAUUGGAAUCUAUUGUGCGAUAGAUACAGUUCUGAGAAGUGUGUGAAUCGCAGUGAGACAAACAAAAAGAAUAGGGACAAGGUGAAGACUAAGAAUUACGGUGGCUCAAAAGCGUAUGUUUAGUACCUAGAUGAGAUGGUAAUGACAAAUGGGACUAUUCAAAUCACAUUUUAGUACUUUUUUACUUCUUUAUGCAUUAAUUUUUCAAAUUAGUUAUACUUGUAUAGUUGAAAUAUUCAACGCCCUUAUAUUUUGGUGUCUCUGUUUAAAAUAAUAUGUUUUAUACAUCAACUAAACUGAAAUGUGUGAAGUUAUUCAAAACUGUUUUAGUUUCAACUUUAAUGAGUUUUUUAGAUGAUUAAUUUGAUCAAUAUAAUAAGUUAUAUAUGUAUAUGUUCUAAAAUCCAACAUAUAUAUAUAUAUAUAUAUAUAUAUAUAUAUUGUGUAUAUGUAUAUAAUGUUUAGUAAUGAAAAUUAUAUGUAUGUAGAUAUGAAUAUGUUUGUAAUUUUGUUUGAGUUAUCGCUGGUUUUUGUUCCUUAUUGAGCUGUUUGUUAAGGUUUUAUAGCCCAGUUUGUUCAUUUUACUUGCUUAUAUAUCACAGCUUAAUAAUGAAAGUGGGGAAGAUGGAAGUGUGAUUGAAUUCUAUGCAAAAUCAUAUAUAAAGGAAAAUGGGGAAUCUAUUGAUGAAGAGGCUGAGAAGAAUUAUGUAAGAAUGUCUUCAUUGUUAAUGUUUUAAUUUUUAUUUAAAUUAAAGGAUGGUGCACAUUUAGGAUGAUAACUCUACUUCUGAACAUGUAGGCUAGAAUGCUAGAAAUGAAAAAAGUUACAAUUGAAAUUGAAGAAGUAAUAACCCAUGAGAAAGAAGAAGAAAUAAUGCUUGAAGUGCUAGGGCCUAAUAGGGAUAUGCCAACUUUGUCAAUCCAAGCUACUAAAAAAGAUGUCGAUGCAGCUAAUGCCAGGGCCGACAAAGCAGAAAAUAAUAUGGAAGAGAUGAGACAAGAGGUGCAAGAGAUGAAGGAAGAAAUGCAACAACAAAUUCAAGAAAAAGUGAAUGAGGCAAUGCUUGCUUUUAUUGCAAAUAUUGGGCAGCCUUCCACUGGACCCCAAAAUUAAUAUAGUUAGAGUUUUAGGACAUAUUUUUAAAAUUAAUUAAGACAAAUAUUUUAGAACUUUGAAUACUUUCUUGCAGUUUCUUGUAUUUUAAUAUCGAACUUAAUAUUUUUGGGAUGAUGCAUCAAUAUUCCUUGUGCCCCUCUUUCUCUCAAAAUUUUUGAAAACUCUCUUGUUUCACAUUGGAUACAGUUUUUGGAAGGAUAAUUUAUGGUAAGUUAGCUAUCUUAUAAUCAAUUCAAUUUUUAUAAUUAUUUUUUUAUCAAUAUUUUUUUACCAGGGAUACAAUUUAUUUUGCAGGUAGUUUGUCUUGUUAAGAGAGUUUCUUCUUAAUUUGUUAGAGUGUUCUAUGGGGGAAAAAAUUGUUUCAUUCUUUGGACCAGGAAUUAAUGUUGAAGUUGAGUGAUUAACUGGGACGACAUGAAGAAAACGAAGUACUCAUGACAACGACGAACUAAAGUGAUGAGAUUCCAUACGAACUUUGAGGUGCUGCCAUAGAGGGAGAGUUGGGAGUUUGCUUUUAUGUUUUAGUUUGGUCUUUAAUUUGUAUUAGACAAUUGAAAAUUUAGUUUAUAUUUUGACUUAGAAUUGAACAAAUGUAGAAAUUUAUUCAAAUUUAUGUUAAUUUUGUAUUUGAACUCAGAA
Long non-coding RNA from Cornus florida, 2526 nucleotides. RefSeq lists it as uncharacterized. The transcript has 8 exons. NCBI's taxonomy places the organism in Eukaryota, Viridiplantae, Streptophyta, Magnoliopsida, Cornales, Cornaceae. The record is from RefSeq and is a predicted model, not a curated record.